This 75-nucleotide transfer RNA is filed under the name Phycisphaerae bacterium. Its description in RNAcentral is "tRNA-Pro". It matches the Rfam family "tRNA". Rfam says of the family: Transfer RNA (tRNA) molecules are approximately 80 nucleotides in length. Their secondary structure includes four short double-helical elements and three loops (D, anti-codon, and T loops). The record is from RNAcentral. Lineage: Bacteria; Pseudomonadati; Planctomycetota; Phycisphaerae. RNAcentral also lists the same sequence under 1 other name.
CGGGGUGUAGCUCAGCUUGGCUAGAGCGCCUGCUUUGGGAGCAGGAGGCCGUAGGUCCGAAUCCUAUCACCCCGA